UAGGGAAUCUUCGGCAAUGGGGGGAACCCUGACCGAGCAACGCCGCGUGAGUGAAGAAGGUUUUCGGAUCGUAAAGCUCUGUUGUUAAGGAAGAACGAGUGUGAGAAUGGAAAGUUCAUGCUGUGACGGUACUUAACCAGAAAGGGACGGCUAACUACGUGCCAGCAGCCGCGGUAAUACGUAGGUCCCGAGCGUUGUCCGGAUUUAUUGGGCGUAAAGCGAGCGCAGGCGGUUAGAAAAGUCUGAAAUGAAAGGCAGUGGCUCAACCAUUGUAGGCUUUGGAAACUGUUUAACUUGAGUGCAGAAGGGGAGAGUGGAAUUCCAUGUGUAGCGGUGAAAUGCGUAGAUAUAUGGAGGAACACCGGUGGCGAAAGCGGCUCUCUGGUCUGUAACUGACGCUGAGGCUCGAAAGCGUGGGGAGCGAACAGG
This 429-nucleotide ribosomal RNA is filed under the name Verrucomicrobiota bacterium. RNAcentral describes it as "Verrucomicrobia bacterium partial 16S ribosomal RNA". It matches the Rfam family "Bacterial small subunit ribosomal RNA", at positions 355 to 776 of the family's 1533-position model. The record is from RNAcentral. Lineage: Bacteria; Pseudomonadati; Verrucomicrobiota.